This 466-nucleotide ribosomal RNA is filed under the name uncultured bacterium. RNAcentral's name for it is "partial 16S ribosomal RNA". It matches the Rfam family "Bacterial small subunit ribosomal RNA", at positions 28 to 506 of the family's 1533-position model. The record is from RNAcentral.
GAUGAACGCUGACAGAAUGCUUAACACAUGCAAGUCAGCUUGAAUUUGGGUUUUUAACUUAGGUUUGGGUGGCGGACGGGUGAGUAACGCGUAAAGAACUUGCCUCACAGCUAGGGACAACAUUUGGAAACGAAUGCUAAUACCUAAUAUUAUGAUAAUAGGGCAUCCUAUAAUUAUGAAAGCUAUAAGCGCUGUGAGAGAGCUUUGCGUCCCAUUAGCUAGUUGGAGAGGUAACGGCUCACCAAGGCGAUGAUGGGUAGCCGGCCUGAGAGGGUGAUCGGCCACAAGGGGACUGAGACACGGCCCUUACUCCUACGGGAGGCAGCAGUGGGGAAUAUUGGACAAUGGACCGAGAGGCUGAUCCAGCAAUUCUGUGUGCACGAUGAAGUUUUUCGGAAUGUAAAGUGCUUUCAGUUGGGAAGAAACAAAUGACGGUACCAACAGAAGAAGUGACGGCUAAAUACGU